Molecule: unclassified non-coding RNA, 196 nt
Filed under: uncultured fungus
Lineage: Eukaryota; Fungi
Description: sequence contains ITS1
Source: RNAcentral
UUAACGAUUUAGGUUGGACUCGGACGACACGUUGACAUUCAGGGUUGAGGGUCCUCUGGCGGGCACACGCCAGCGCGGGGCCGGCGGCCGGACGGACGGCCCGCCAAGGCAACAAAGGUAGGUAAGCAGGGUGGGAGGUCUACCCCGGGGGGGCAUGAACUCGGUAAUGAUCCUUCCGCAGGUUCACCUACGGAAA